UACGUAGGGUGCGAGCGUUAAUCGGAAUUACUGGGCGUAAAGCGUGCGCAGGCGGUGAUGUAAGACAGGUGUGAAAUCCCCGGGCUUAACCUGGGAACUGCAUUUGUGACUGCAUCGCUGGAGUGCGGCAGAGGGGGAUGGAAUUCCGCGUGUAGCAGUGAAAUGCGUAGAUAUGCGGAGGAACACCGAUGGCGAAGGCAAUCCCCUGGGCCUGCACUGACGCUCAUGCACGAAAGCGUGGGGGAGCAAACAGG
RNAcentral lists this ribosomal RNA (254 nucleotides) under uncultured bacterium. RNAcentral describes it as "partial 16S ribosomal RNA". It matches the Rfam family "Bacterial small subunit ribosomal RNA", at positions 524 to 776 of the family's 1533-position model. The record is from RNAcentral.